RNAcentral lists this ribosomal RNA (301 nucleotides) under uncultured bacterium. RNAcentral's name for it is "partial 16S ribosomal RNA". It matches the Rfam family "Bacterial small subunit ribosomal RNA", at positions 509 to 808 of the family's 1533-position model. The record is from RNAcentral.
CAGCGCCGCGGGAAUACAGAGGGUGCGAGCGUUAAUCGGAUUUACUGGGCGUAAAGCGUGCGUAGGCGGCUUUUUAAGUCGGAUGUGAAAUCCCUGAGCUUAACUUAGGAAUUGCAUUCGAUACUGGGAAGCUAGAGUAUGGGAGAGGAUGGUAGAAUUCCAGGUGUAGCGGUGAAAUGCGUAGAGAUCUGGAGGAAUACCGAUGGCGAAGGCAGCCAUCUGGCCUAAUACUGACGCUGAGGUACGAAAGCAUGGGGAGCAAACAGGAUUAGAUACCCGCGUAGUCCCUGUCUCUUAUACA